AAAGUGUUGGGCCUACUCAACAAGUUUAAAACCAGUGGUGAAAUUCCAUUCAAUUCGUUGGAGUCCGAUGAAUUGGAGGAAGCAAUUCUUGAUUUAGAGGAACUUGCAAACAAAAUCAGUCGGCCCAAACAGCUUAUGGAAUCCAAAAGACCUCUGUCUGAUGGUGUUACACCUUCAUGGAAGUUUGUAAAACACUAUGGAACAUCGACAAAGAAUUGAUGGCUUCGGAAGUUUGGCUUGAUCCUUCCUGUCUUUGAGCUAGGAUACGAUUGAGAGAAACACAUCCUGAAGAACUUGCUUAGAAAUAUUCACUUGUAGUGAACGAUCACUACAAGUUAGUAUUUCUUUUCUACACAACAAAUUCUACGUUCUACGUUCAGCUGGAGGAUGCCUUUUUGAGGAGCCAUGGCAAGUCACUUGCUCUACUCCUUUACUUUUUGUAUCUCCAUUACAUGAAACUUUUCCGAUUACUCAUCAAAUGAUAGAGGUGAUAUACUGUCCUUCUCGUUCGAGAUUCAUGCAGACUUCUUUCCUGAAUCUUUUCGGUCAACAUCAAAGCUGUGUAAACUGUGGAUGAAAUUUCCAACUUAUAAUUCAUCAAAGAGUGUCUGUGACUGAUAAAAUUGAUGUUAUGUACUAGAUGUAUUUUUUAAAACUUGCUGUGUUGGAUAUUUGCCCCAAUUGCAUUGUUUGAGUAAAGAUGAAACUUCAAAAA
Solanum verrucosum is the source of this 715-nucleotide long non-coding RNA. RefSeq lists it as uncharacterized. The transcript is spliced from 2 exons. Lineage: Eukaryota; Viridiplantae; Streptophyta; Magnoliopsida; Solanales; Solanaceae. The record is from RefSeq and is a predicted model, not a curated record.